CGUGUAGGCGGCCAAGCAAGUCAGAGGUGAAAGCCCUGGGCUCAACCUGGGAACUGCCUUUGAAACUGUUUGGCUUGAGACCGGAAGAGGAUGGCGGAAUUCCCAGUGUAGAGGUGAAAUUCGUAGAUAUUGGGAAGAACACCGGUUGCGAAGGCGGGUUUCUGGGCAUGCACUGACGCUGAGGCACGAAAGCUGGGGGAGCAAACA
Molecule: ribosomal RNA, 207 nt
Filed under: uncultured bacterium
Lineage: Bacteria
Description: partial 16S ribosomal RNA
Rfam family: Bacterial small subunit ribosomal RNA
Source: RNAcentral